GAUGAAGAACGUAGCGAAAUGCGAUACUUGGUGUGAAUUGCAGAAUCCCGUGAACCAUCGAGUCUUUGAACGCAAGUUGCGCCCGAAGCCAUUAGGCCGAGGGCACGCCUGCCUGGGCGUCACACGUCGUUGCCCCCCCAUCUACUCCUUCGGGAUUGCGGGGGGCGGAUGAUGGCCUCCCGUGCGCCUCGCCGCGCGGUUGGCAUAAAUGCCAAGUCCUCGGCGACGCAUGCCACGACAAUCGGUGGUUGCGAAACCUCGGUUGCCCGUCGUGUGCGGUCGUCGCGCAUCGAGGGCUCGAAAAAAUUGCCGGGUUCCGGCUCGGCUUUCAACGCGACCCCAGGUCAGGCGGGGUUACCCGCUGAAUUUAAGCAUAUCAAUAAGCGGAGGA
RNAcentral lists this unclassified non-coding RNA (391 nucleotides) under soil metagenome. RNAcentral describes it as "partial contains 5.8S ribosomal RNA, internal transcribed spacer 2, and large subunit ribosomal RNA". The stretch from base 1 to 122 matches the Rfam family "5.8S ribosomal RNA", at positions 35 to 154 of the family's 154-position model. The record is from RNAcentral.